Molecule: ribosomal RNA, 668 nt
Filed under: uncultured Nitrososphaerota archaeon
Lineage: Archaea; Thermoproteati; Nitrososphaerota
Description: bacterial SSU rRNA
Rfam family: Archaeal small subunit ribosomal RNA
Source: RNAcentral
CGUGGCAUACGGCUCAGUAACACGUAGUCAACAUGCCCAGGGGACGUGGAUAACCUCGGGAAACUGAGGAUAAACCGCGAUAGGCCAUGAUUUCUGGAAUGGUUCAUGGCUGAAAUCUAUAUGGCCCCUGGAUUGGACUGCGGCCGAUCAGGCUGUUGGUGAGGUAAUGGCCCACCAAACCUGUAACCGGUACGGGCUCUGAGAGGAGGAGCCCGGAGAUGGGCACUGAGACAAGGGCCCAGGCCCUAUGGGGCGCAGCAGGCGCGAAAUCUCUGCAAUAGGCGAAAGCUUGACAGGGUUACUCUGAGUGGUUCCCGUUAAGGGGAUCUUUUGGCACCUUUAAAAAUGGUGCAGAAUAAGGGGUGGGCAAGUCUGGUGUCAGCCGCCGCGGUAAUACCAGCACCCCGAGUGGUCGGGACGAUUAUUGGGCCUAAAGCAUCCGUAGCCGGUACUGCAAGUCUUCCGUUAAAUCCACCUGCUUAACAGUUGGGCUGCGGGGGAUACUACAGCGCUAGGAGGCGGGAGAGGCAAGCGGUACUCAAUGGGUAGGGGUAAAAUCCGCUGAUCCAUUGAAGACCACCAGUGGCGAAGGCGGCUUGCCAGAACGCGCUCGACGGUGAGGGAUGAAAGCUGGGGGAGCAAACCGGAUUAGAUACCCGGGUAGUCCC